UACGUAGGGACCAAGCGUUGUUCGGAUUUACUGGGCGUAAAGGGCGCGUAGGCGGCUCAACAAGUCACUUGUGAAAUCUCCGGGCUUAACUCGGAACGGCCAAGUGAAACUGUCAAGCUAGAGUGCAGAAGGGGCAAUCGGAAUUCUUGGUGUAGCGGUGAAAUGCGUAGAUAUCAAGAGGAACACCUGAGGUGAAGACGGGUUGCUGGGCUGACACUGACGCUGAGGCGCGAAAGCCAGGGGAGCAAACGGG
RNAcentral lists this ribosomal RNA (253 nucleotides) under uncultured bacterium. Its description in RNAcentral is "partial 16S ribosomal RNA". It matches the Rfam family "Bacterial small subunit ribosomal RNA", at positions 524 to 776 of the family's 1533-position model. The record is from RNAcentral.